Molecule: ribosomal RNA, 128 nt
Filed under: Segatella copri
Lineage: Bacteria; Pseudomonadati; Bacteroidota; Bacteroidia; Bacteroidales; Prevotellaceae
Description: partial 23S ribosomal RNA
Rfam family: Bacterial large subunit ribosomal RNA
Source: RNAcentral
GUGCGAAGCCAGCCGCAAGAUGAGAACUCCAUUGAGGGUCGUCAGAGACGAUGACGUUGAUAGGAUGCAGGUGUAAAGACAGCGAUGUCAAAGCCGAGCAUUACUAAUUGCCCGAACACUUUCUUUAU